RNAcentral lists this ribosomal RNA (253 nucleotides) under uncultured bacterium. Its description in RNAcentral is "partial 16S ribosomal RNA". It matches the Rfam family "Bacterial small subunit ribosomal RNA", at positions 524 to 776 of the family's 1533-position model. The record is from RNAcentral.
UACAGAGGGUGCGAGCGUUAAUCGGAAUUACUGGGCGUAAAGCGCGCGUAGGCGGCUUUGCAAGUCGGGUGUGAAAUCCCCAGGCUUAACCUGGGAACUGCAUUCGAGACUGCAUUGCUAGAGUAUGGGAGAGGGAAGUGGAAUUUCCGGCGUAGCGGUGAAAUGCGUAGAUAUCGGAAGGAACAUCAGUGGCGAAAGCGACUUCCUGGACCAAUACUGACGCUCAUGUGCGAAAGCGUGGGGAGCAAACAGG